Molecule: transfer RNA, 84 nt
Filed under: Synechococcales cyanobacterium CRU_2_2
Lineage: Bacteria; Bacillati; Cyanobacteriota; Cyanophyceae; Synechococcales
Also listed under: 1 other name
Description: tRNA-Leu
Rfam family: tRNA
About the family: Transfer RNA (tRNA) molecules are approximately 80 nucleotides in length.
Source: RNAcentral
GCGGGACUGGCGGAAUUGGUAGACGCGCUAGUUUCAGGUACUAGUGUCCUCACAGACUUCCGGGUUCAAGUCCCGGGUUCCGCA